Molecule: ribosomal RNA, 496 nt
Filed under: uncultured bacterium
Lineage: Bacteria
Description: partial 16S ribosomal RNA
Rfam family: Bacterial small subunit ribosomal RNA
Source: RNAcentral
AACGAACGCUGGCGGCGCGUCUUAAGCAUGCAAGUCGAACGGCAAGAGAGGAGCUUGCUUCUAUCCUAGAGUGGCGGACUGGUGAGGAACACGUGGGUAAUCUACCCUUAAGAUGGGGAUAGCUGCUAGAAAUAGCAGGUAAUACCGAAUACACUCGGCAUAUCCCAAGAGGUGUUGAGGAAAGGAAGCUACGGCUUCGCUUGAGGAUGAGCUUGCGUCCCAUUAGCUAGUUGGUGAGGUAAAGGCCCACCAAGGCGACGAUGGGUAUCCGGCCUGAGAGGGUGAACGGACACAUUGGAACUGAGAUACGGCCCAAACUCCUACGGGAGGCAGCAGCGAAGAAUAUUCCGCAAUGGACGGAAGUCUGACGGAGCGACGCCGCGUGGAUGAAGAAGGCUGAAAAGUUGUAAAAUCCUUUUGUUGAUGAAGAAUAAGGGUGAGAGGGAAUGCUCAUCUGAUGACGGUAAUCGACGAAUAAGCCCCGGCUAAUUACGUG